UGCAAGUCGAACGAUGAAGCUGGAGCUUGCUCCGAUGGAUUAGUGGCGAACGGGUGAGUAACACGUGAGCAAUCUGCCCUUGACUCUGGGAUAACUGCGGGAAACUGUAGCUAAUACCGGAUACGAGGCUCGAAGGCAUCUUCGGGUCUGGAAAGAAUUUCGGUCAAGGAUGAGCUCGCGGCCUAUCAGCUUGUUGGUGAGGUAAUGGCUCACCAAGGCGACGACGGGUAGCCGGCCUGAGAGGGUGACCGGCCACACUGGGACUGAGACACGGCCCAGACUCCUACGGGAGGCAGCAGUGGGGAAUAUUGCACAAUGGGCGAAAGCCUGAUGCAGCAACGCCGCGUGAGGGAUGAAGGCCUUCGGGUUGUAAACCUCUUUUAGCAGGGAAGAAGCGAAAGUGACGGUACCUGCAGAAAAAGCACCGGCUAACUACGUGCCAGCAGCCGCGGUAAUACGUAGGGUGCAAGCGUUGUCCGGAAU
Molecule: ribosomal RNA, 483 nt
Filed under: uncultured Actinomycetes bacterium
Lineage: Bacteria; Bacillati; Actinomycetota; Actinomycetes
Description: bacterial SSU rRNA
Rfam family: Bacterial small subunit ribosomal RNA
Source: RNAcentral